RNAcentral lists this ribosomal RNA (301 nucleotides) under uncultured bacterium. RNAcentral's name for it is "partial 16S ribosomal RNA". It matches the Rfam family "Bacterial small subunit ribosomal RNA", at positions 509 to 807 of the family's 1533-position model. The record is from RNAcentral.
CAGCAGCCGCGGGAAUACGGAGGGUGCAAGCGUUAUCCGGAUUUAUUGGGUUUAAAGGGUCCGUAGGCGGACUUAUAAGUCAGUGGUGAAAGCCUGUCGCUUAACGAUAGAACUGCCAUUGAUACUGUAAGUCUUGAGUAUAUUUGAGGUAGCUGGAAUAAGUAGUGUAGCGGUGAAAUGCAUAGAUAUUACUUAGAACACCAAUUGCGAAGGCAGGUUACCAAGAUAUAACUGACGCUGAGGGACAAAAGCGUGGGUAGCGAACAGGAUUAGAUACCCGUGUAGUCCCUGUCUCUUAUAC